This 553-nucleotide small RNA is filed under the name Pongo abelii (Sumatran orangutan). RNAcentral describes it as "retained intron". The record is from RNAcentral. Lineage: Eukaryota; Metazoa; Chordata; Mammalia; Primates; Hominidae.
GCUUCUCGCAGACUCCGCGACCUACUGACCCGGCGACUCACAGCCUCCAACUACCCGGGACUCAGUAUUAGCCUUCGCCUCACUGGCUCCUCUGCACAAGAGGAGGCUUCCGGAGUAGCCCUCGGUGAAGCCCCAGACCACAGCUAUGAGUCCCUUCGUGUGACGUCUGCGCAGAAACAUGUUCUCCAUGUUCAGCUCAACCGGCCCAACAAGAGGAAUGCCAUGAACAAGGUCUUCUGGAGAGAGAUGGUAGAGUGCUUCAACAAGAUUUCGAGAGACGCUGACUGUCGGGCGGUGGUGAUCUCUGGUGCAGGAAAAAUGUUCACUGCAGGUGUUGACCUGAUGGACAUGGCUUCGGACCUCCUGCAGCCCAAAGGAGAUGAUGUGGCCCGGAUCAGCUGGUACCUCCGUGACAUCAUCACUCGAUACCAGGAGACCUUCAACGUCAUCGAGAAGUGCCCCAAGCCCGUGAUUGCUGCCGUCCACGGGGGCUGCAUUGGCGGAGGUGAGUCUGCGGCUGUAUUCCUGCUCGGGUGCUCCCCAGGUCGGGCUG